RNAcentral lists this ribosomal RNA (253 nucleotides) under uncultured bacterium. RNAcentral's name for it is "partial 16S ribosomal RNA". It matches the Rfam family "Bacterial small subunit ribosomal RNA", at positions 524 to 776 of the family's 1533-position model. The record is from RNAcentral.
UACAGAGGGUGCGAGCGUUGUCCGGAAUCACUGGGCGUAAAGGGCGCGUAGGCGGCUUGGCAAGCGUGCGGUGAAAGCUCAGGGCUCAACCCUGAGUCUGCCGUGCGAACUGCCGGGCUUGAGCACAGUAGAGGCAGAUGGAAUUCCGGGUGUAGCGGUGGAAUGCGUAGAGAUCCGGAAGAACACCGGUGGCGAAGGCGGUCUGCUGGGCUGUGUCUGACGCUGAGGCGCGACAGCGUGGGGAGCAAACAGG